Myotis brandtii (Brandt's bat) is the source of this 75-nucleotide non-coding RNA. NCBI's taxonomy places the organism in Eukaryota, Metazoa, Chordata, Mammalia, Chiroptera, Vespertilionidae. The record is from Rfam.
GGAAGUUCUUGGGUGACGCACCCCAGAAUCAGGCUCCCUCCUCUCUGGUUCCGAGUGCAUCACCCAAGAACCACA